RNAcentral lists this ribosomal RNA (462 nucleotides) under Streptococcus mitis. RNAcentral describes it as "bacterial SSU rRNA". It matches the Rfam family "Bacterial small subunit ribosomal RNA", at positions 28 to 474 of the family's 1533-position model. Lineage: Bacteria; Bacillati; Bacillota; Bacilli; Lactobacillales; Streptococcaceae. The record is from RNAcentral.
GACGAACGCUGGCGGCGUGCCUAAUACAUGCAAGUAGAACGCUAAAGGAGGAGCUUACUUCUCUGGAUGAGUUGCGAACGGGUGAGUAACGCGUAGGUAACCUGCCUGGUAGCGGGGGAUAACUAUUGGAAACGAUAGCUAAUACCGCAUAAUAGCAGUUGUUGCAUGACAACUGUUUGAAAGGUGCAAUUGCAUCACUACCAGAUGGACCUGCGUUGUAUUAGCUAGUUGGUGGGGUAACGGCUCACCAAGGCGACGAUACAUAGCCGACCUGAGAGGGUGAUCGGCCACACUGGGACUGAGACACGGCCCAGACUCCUACGGGAGGCAGCAGUAGGGAAUCUUCGGCAAUGGACGGAAGUCUGACCGAGCAACGCCGCGUGAGUGAAGAAGGUUUUCGGAUCGUAAAGCUCUGUUGUAAGAGAAGAACGAGUGUGAGAGUGGAAAGUUCACACUGUGACG